RNAcentral lists this ribosomal RNA (405 nucleotides) under uncultured bacterium. RNAcentral describes it as "bacterial SSU rRNA". It matches the Rfam family "Bacterial small subunit ribosomal RNA", at positions 355 to 774 of the family's 1533-position model. The record is from RNAcentral.
UGGGGAAUAUUGCGCAAUGGGCGAAAGCCUGACGCAGCGACGCCGCGUGGGUGAGGAAGGCCUUCGGGUCGUAAAGCCCUGUCAGAGGGGAAGAAGUAAGUGACGGUACCCUCAAAGGAAGCACCGGCUAACUCCGUGCCAGCAGCCGCGGUAAUACGGAGGGUGCAAGCGUUGUUCGGAAUCAUUGGGCGUAAAGCGAGUGUAGGCGGUAUGUUAAGUCAGAGGUGAAAGCCCUGGGCUCAACCCAGGAAGUGCCUUUGAUACUGGCAUGCUUGAGUACGGGAGAGGGUAGCGGAAUUCCAAGUGUAGAGGUGAAAUUCGUAGAUAUUUGGAGGAACACCGGUGGCGAAGGCGGCUACCUGGACCGAUACUGACGCUGAGACUCGAAAGCGUGGGGAGCAAACA